CUGGGAGCCAAGGCACAUUUUAUAGGCUUGUGAGUUCCCAGCGUCACGAAGGGAGUGGAGCGAUAAGCUCCAUCGGCUGAAUAUCUCAAAUGACUGGGUUCUACACAUGAAUUCACUCAAGAAAGUAGAUGACCUCCCUCCAAGACAGGACCACGUGUUUUUGAAAAAUCAGUUUCACUCCAAUAACUCCAAGUCCAUCUGCAUUCUCAGGUCCAAUGUGGCUCUGCAGCCAGCCACAGCACAGGGGCAAUUAGAAGUGCCACAUCAGAUCUCAAGGCCAUCUGACUCAGCUUUGAUUUAAGAAAGGACAAGGUGCAGUGAUGACAGGCAGGACCAUCAUGUCAGAGCCCAGCAAUAGAAGCAUCUUCUCAAGAUCAGUUCAACUCAGCUCUGGACUGGUGCCUGACAGUUCCAGAUCAAAGGGGUCAAGAUAUCUGACCUAUUUACAGAAAAGGAGCAGAUUGAGAGCUUGCCUGUACCGGUGCAGAAGGAUGCCAACCUCAGCAGAGUUUACUUUUUUCUGAAGAGCACACCAAAACCUCCUGAAGUUCACCAGGGAUUUUGUAGCUCCUUUCUGGCAAGAAAUCUGCUGGUCAUCUGACUUUUCCUGUGGUUUCUCAGAUGAUGCCUUCAGGACUUGCUGUGCCUUCUGUCCCUCCCCACAGGAUGGAAAGAUUUUGGUAUCACCUGAGCCACACUUCACUGUGGAGCCCAGCAGAGCCCCACAGACACUUGGAAGAGGAUUAUGGGUCCUUUACCACAAAUCUAGAGACAGUCAUCACCUGCCUUGGCUUGUGACUACCUCUUCACAGGAAGGGAAGUCAAGAUACUGGAUCAAGAGCCCACAGAACCUGCGGUCUCCAUCCUCAGCAGUAGAACAAGGGAAAGGGGACAGCAGCAUAGGCAAUUUUACAAGUGUUUAAUAUUCACCAUACUCCAGAGAGAGAGACCAAGCUGGUUCCCCAAACUUCCUACGCUGAUAGCCUGAUACCAAAGUACAUGUGGAUGCCUGGGAGCUGCACCAGCUGCUGAAGGGGGCAGCAGGGUAAGAACAUUCUUUCUCCAUGUUUGGGAGCCUGGGGGGGGUUGAGGGUUUUUUAAACAUUUUUUGUACCCAUGGGCAUUGCCACAUGCCCUUUGGAGCCUCAUAUGUGAUGUCUUCGUGGAGUGAUGCUGAGAGCUCUCUGGCUGAAAAGUCCCAAGGUUGGUGUCACAGAGCCAAACUGUUCUCUCAGGUCUGCUCCAAGCACUCUGAGGUUUGACUGGUUGGGUAUAGCCAAGACCACAAUUAAAAAUGAGGAUUUUUGCAGUUCAUUUAACUGGUAGAAAUUUCUGCUUGCUUUUUAAUCCUUGAAGAAAUUUUAACUUCUUGCUGACAUAGGUCCAUAUUAUGUAUCUGUAAAGGCAGUAAAACAACAUACGGAUAGCUGUUAAUGCUAUAAUAGAACCUCAGUGAUAAGCAAGAGUUACUGUGAGGCCACCUUAAACCCUGCUGAAACUUAAAUGCCAGGUUGUUAUUGUGGCUUGUUUUCUCUCACUUCUAGCUGCAUUUUACUGUUUGGUUUCCUAAAUCUCAGCAGCAAAAGGACAGCUUAGCUCCCUUGAAGACUGUGCUGCUCUGAAAUUAUGACUGUUGCUGUGGGGGAAGGGGUUGCACUCUCUGUGACAUGAUUUGUAGGACCCUCUAUAAAUCAUUUACCAGCAUGCCUUCACUGUAAGCUUACAGUUUGUGGAGCUUUAAGAAAUGUAAGGAAUAACAAUGUGCAAAGGAAGAAAAACCAAACCAACAGAGGAAGAAAUGGACAUCUCUGAAACCCUUGCCUGGAAAACCAAAAGUCUGUAUUUAAGUCACAGGGACAAGCACUGGAAGCAUUUUAAUGGGUGAGUGCCUUCCUGCACCACCACCACCAUGUGUUGUAAAAAUUGCGGCUUCGCGGCUUCCGAGCAGACGGGGAGGGGGCUUGGCCAGCCCUGCAGGAGCAGAGCAGCUUGUGACCCUUGUGUCUCCCUCUUGAAGUCCUUAAUAAAUCAUCCUGCCCUGCUCAUAAAGUGGAGUUGAGCAGCAAAACAAAGGCCUGAGCAUGCAAACCCAAUUGGAAAAUCAAGGUAUGCUAAAAGCAGAGGGCAAUACCUUCCAUUUCUGUCACAGGGCAACACCCACGUGUGGCUGCAGAUAACACCUGAGCAACCACUGGGGAGCUAACAUGGAGGUUGCAUGGCAUUUUUCUUACUGCUGAAGAAGAUGUCUGGCAUAAUUCUUAUGCCAAAUGGAAAUGCUGAUACAGAUUUUAAGUGAUAAUUAAUGUCAGUCAGCAUUCUUAUAAAUGGAAAUCCUGUCUCAAAAAAUAUUCCUUUUUUUGAUGAUGGAUUUACUGAUUCAGCAAUCUUUCUUUCCUUGUCAGGUGCUUCACUUAAUACUGUACAGUGAGAUGGUUAAAAAAUAAGCACUCCACAAUAUCAGUAAAAAUUGCAUUAAAUGAAGAAGUGAGGUGUUUUUAGUGAGAUUCAAACAGAGGUGUUUCUGCUGCAGGUCAGAAGUGACCAACAUAUUGAAAGCAUUUUCUACCCAAGCUGCACCUAAAUGAGGUGAGAGUUCUUCCUCAAGGAUGGGGCAAACAGUACCAAAUAUUCUGAUGAAGCCAAGGAGUUAAUUUCCCUCCAUUUUAUUGGCUGAAAGAGAGACGCCCUGGCGAUUCACUCUAUGAUCUCCCAUGGACUACAGUCCUUUCCCAGGGCAGAUCUGCUGUGGAGCUGGAAUCAGAGGAACUAGAUCAGAAUCCUCUAUUUGGUGAUAGUGGAAAAAAGUGCUUCAGAGAAACUGUAAAUCAUGUAGAAGAUGGUGCAACAUUUCGUAAGGUAGGCUCACUCAAACAAAUUGUAUCUAAAUACAGGCCUGUGAAAAGGGUAGGGAUGCAGAGUGGAAGCCACUCCUAGAAAUGGAAAAGCAGGGUAAUCCCACAAUAUCAGCAAUGGUUUUAAAGUCAUAAUGCAGAAGCAGCUGAAGACGAAUUGUGAGGGCAAAGCUGCACUAAAAGGAGGUAAAUUAAUUUCUAUAGAAAAAGAAAGGAAUGUGAGCAGAUUUAGGCAUGGGCUUCUUAGGUUGUAUAUAGUUGAGGCCAUUUCCUGAUAGCUCAGCUCCGCAGUUUAUCUUUUUUAACAAGGGUGUAGCAAGACAGGAAAAAAAAACCACCACAGCAAGUGCCACAAAAAUAGUUUAAGAUCUGAAGAAAGUGCUCUAAAGUAAAAAACAGAACACAAUCUGUUUAGCCUAUCAAAAAGAAAAAAAAAAAAAAAGAAAAAGAUUGAAAGGUAACUUGAUUACAGUGUGCUAUUAGUGAGCCAUGAAGGGUUUUAGCAUGGGAGGUAACAAGACCCAGUAACUGGAGUCUCAAGAAAGACAAAUUGACAGAAUAAGAAUACAUUUUUAAGAAAAAGGGGCUAAAGCUCUGAACAAGGUAUCAAUAGAAGUAACAAAUCCUCCAGCUCUUAGUGUCUUCUGAUCAGGACAUACAGCUGCACUUCAAGCAGAAUUCGUAUUUUUGUCAAACACGCCAUUGCUAUCUCCCUAAUUUUUAUGAAAGUCUCCCUUUAGCAUUUCUAAUGGCUGAGACCUUUUGUAGCAAUAAAUAGAAAGGAAUAACAGAAGAGCCCAGAAAUUAUUCCCCAGAAUAUUUUUAAGUACUCAGUAAUUACAGGAAGUAUUAAAUAAUUGAAGAGAGUAGUUUGCACAAAACCUCUGGUCUGCAUUCUUUAAAAGAAAUUCCUGGCUCACAAUUCCUGGCUUCUUUCUCUCUGCUCCUUGCAGAAUCAUUGGCAGGAACACAACAGCAUUUAGCAGGUUUUUCCCAGUGCUGCAGCUCUUGAUGGCAGAGACUGAGGCUUCGGAAAUGCCCUAGGAAGGCUGUCAGGAGCCAGUGGGCAUGGGGCAGUGACAGCAGACUUGCAGGCCAAGACCAGCCUCCCUACCAGCUUGUGUGAUAGCUGCUCUAAUCACCACUCCCACACACCUUAGCCCAGAUAUCCAAGAUACAGAAACUGAUCCUGCCCGUGGGAUACAGGAUUCUCUUUUCAAGAAAUAAUAUCUAGACAAUGAUCAAAGGAAUCCAUAGUCAGUGGAUUAAAUGGGAGCUGUGGAUGCUGGCUUGUAUUAGCUUCCAAUUGAGUGUCUGCUGCUGAUUUUGAAGUGCCUAAACUAAAGACACAAGAGACUGAAAAUGUUGCCUAGCUGUGCUUGAUCUCCAUGUCCCAGAGGAGUAAAGAAAGCAAUAAAAACUAAUACUGUCAGGAACUGCAACAUGCCCCUAGUGACAAUGCACAGGGAGCAAGAAAAGCAGAGUAGGAAGCUGUUGCCCCACUGUGGUGGUUUGACCAGGAAGGAGUGGGAAUUCUGGGAUGCUGUGGUCAAA
This is a non-coding RNA of Zonotrichia albicollis (white-throated sparrow), 4406 nucleotides long. NCBI's taxonomy places the organism in Eukaryota, Metazoa, Chordata, Aves, Passeriformes, Passerellidae. The record is from RefSeq and is a predicted model, not a curated record.